AGUGAACGCUGGCGGUAGGCCUAACACAUGCAAGUCGAACGGCAGCACAGUAAGAGCUUGCUCUUACGGGUGGCGAGUGGCGGACGGGUGAGGAAUACAUCGGAAUCUACUUUUUCGUGGGGGAUAACGUAGGGAAACUUACGCUAAUACCGCAUACGAUCUACGGGUGAAAGCAGGGGAUCUUCGCACCUUGCGCGAUUGAAUGAGCCGCUGUCGGAUUAGCUAGUUGGCGGGGUAAAUGCCCACCAAGGCGACGAUCCGUAGCUGGUCUGAGAGGAUGAUCAGCCACACUGGAACUGAGACACGGUCCAGACUCCUACGGGAGGCAGCAGUGGGGAAUAUUGGACAAUGGGCGCAAGCCUGAUCCAGCCAUACCGCGUGGGUGAAGAAGGCCUUCGGGUUGUAAAGCCCUUUUGUUGGGAAAGAAAAGCAGCAGGUUAAUACCCCGCUGUUCUGACGGUACCCAAAGAAUAAGCACCGGCUAACUUCGUG
This 492-nucleotide ribosomal RNA is filed under the name uncultured bacterium. RNAcentral describes it as "partial 16S ribosomal RNA". It matches the Rfam family "Bacterial small subunit ribosomal RNA", at positions 29 to 507 of the family's 1533-position model. The record is from RNAcentral.